Pelobates cultripes (western spadefoot toad) is the source of this 206-nucleotide non-coding RNA. The record is from the annotation of a GenBank genome assembly. NCBI's taxonomy places the organism in Eukaryota, Metazoa, Chordata, Amphibia, Anura, Pelobatidae.
GUGUGUGUGUUUGUAUAGUGUGUAUAUAAUGAAUGGUGUGUGUGUGUUUGUAUAGUGUGUAUAUAAUGAAUGCAGUGUGUGUGUUUGUAUAGUGUGUAUAUAAUGAAUGCAGUGUGUGUGUGUGUGUUUGUGUAUAUAAUGAAUGCAGUGUGUGUGUGUGUUUGUAUAGUGUGUAUAUAAUGAAUGCAGUGUGUGUGUGUUUGUAU